This 429-nucleotide ribosomal RNA is filed under the name uncultured bacterium. RNAcentral describes it as "bacterial SSU rRNA". It matches the Rfam family "Bacterial small subunit ribosomal RNA", at positions 355 to 776 of the family's 1533-position model. The record is from RNAcentral.
UGAGGAAUAUUGCGCAAUGGGCGAAAGCCUGACGCAGCGACGCCGCGUGGAGGACGACGGUCUUCGGAUUGUAAACUCCUGUUAAGCGGAAAGAAAACCCAAUCUCUAAUACAGAUUGGAUAUGACGGUACCGCUAGAGAAAGCACCGGCUAACUUCGUGCCAGCAGCCGCGGUAAUACGGGGGGUGCAAACGUUAUUCGGAUUUAUUGGGCGUAAAGGGUGUGUAGACGAUUUAUUAAGUUCGUUGUUAAAACUUUCGGCCUAACCGAAAGCUUGCGGUGAAAACUGAUAGACUAGAGGGUGAGAGAGAGGAGUGGAAUUCUCGGAGUAGCGGUAAAAUGCGUAGAUCUCGAGAGGAACACCGAUGGCGAAAGCAGCUCCUUGGCUCAUUCCUGACGUUGAAACACGAAAGCGUGGGGAGCAAACAGG